RNAcentral lists this ribosomal RNA (699 nucleotides) under uncultured bacterium. RNAcentral's name for it is "bacterial SSU rRNA". It matches the Rfam family "Bacterial small subunit ribosomal RNA", at positions 79 to 774 of the family's 1533-position model. The record is from RNAcentral.
CUUGCUUCUCUUGAGAGCGGCGGACGGGUGAGUAAUGCCUAGGAAUCUGCCUGGUAGUGGGGGAUAACGUUCGGAAACGGACGCUAAUACCGCAUACGUCCUACGGGAGAAAGCAGGGGACCUUCGGGCCUUGCGCUAUCAGAUGAGCCUAGGUCGGAUUAGCUAGUUGGUGGGGUAAUGGCUCACCAAGGCGACGAUCCGUAACUGGUCUGAGAGGGUGAUCAGUCACACUGGAACUGAGACACGGUCCAGACUCCUACGGGAGGCAGCAGUGGGGAAUAUUGGACAAUGGGCGAAAGCCUGAUCCAGCCAUGCCGCGUGUGUGAAGAAGGUCUUCGGAUUGUAAAGCACUUUAAGUUGGGAGGAAGGGUUGUAGAUUAAUACUCUGCAAUUUUGACGUUACCGACAGAAUAAGCACCGGCUAACUCUGUGCCAGCAGCCGCGGUAAUACAGAGGGUGCAAGCGUUAAUCGGAAUUACUGGGCGUAAAGCGCGCGUAGGUGGUUUGUUAAGUUGGAUGUGAAAUCCCCGGGCUCAACCUGGGAACUGCAUUCAAAACUGACUGACUAGAGUAUGGUAGAGGGUGGUGGAAUUUCCUGUGUAGCGGUGAAAUGCGUAGAUAUAGGAAGGAACACCAGUGGCGAAAGCGACCACCUGGACUAAUACUGACACUGAGGUGCGAAAGCGUGGGGAGCAAACA